This 417-nucleotide ribosomal RNA is filed under the name uncultured bacterium. Its description in RNAcentral is "partial 16S ribosomal RNA". It matches the Rfam family "Bacterial small subunit ribosomal RNA", at positions 360 to 774 of the family's 1533-position model. The record is from RNAcentral.
AAUAUUGGUCAAUGGAGGCAACUCUGAACCAGACAAGUCGCGUGAAGGAUGACUGCCCUACGGGUUGUAAACUUCUUUUUUAAGGGAAUCAAGUGAGCUACGUGUGGCUUUUUGCAUGUACCUUACGAAUAAGGCACGGCUUACCCCGUGCCAGCAGCCGCGGUAAUACGGAGGAUCCGAGCGUUAUCCGGAUUUAUUGGGUUUAAAGGGUGCGCAGGCGGAAUAUUAAGUCGGCGGUGAAAGUUUGCAGCUUAACUGUAAAAUUGCCGUUGAUACUGGUAUUCUCGAGUGUAUAUGAAGUAGGCGGAAUGUGUAGUGUAGCGGUGAAAUGCAUAGAUAUUACAAGGAACUCCGAUUGCGAAGGCAGCUUACUAAAAUACAACUGACGCUUAGGCACGAAGGCGUGGGGAUCAAACA